RNAcentral lists this ribosomal RNA (482 nucleotides) under uncultured bacterium. RNAcentral's name for it is "partial 16S ribosomal RNA". It matches the Rfam family "Bacterial small subunit ribosomal RNA", at positions 28 to 507 of the family's 1533-position model. The record is from RNAcentral.
GAUGAACGCUGGCGGCGUGCCUAAUACAUGCAAGUCGAACGCUUCACUUCGGUGAAGAGUGGCGAACGGGUGAGUAAUACAUAAGUAACCUGGCAUCUACAGGGGGAUAACUGAUGGAAACGUCAGCUAAGACCGCAUAGGUGUAGAGAUCGCAUGAACUCUAUAUGAAAAGUGCUACGGGACUGGUAGAUGAUGGACUUAUGGCGCAUUAGCUUGUUGGUAGGGUAACGGCCUACCAAGGCGACGAUGCGUAGCCGACCUGAGAGGGUGACCGGCCACACUGGGACUGAGACACGGCCCAGACUCCUACGGGAGGCAGCAGUAGGGAAUUUUCGGCAAUGGGGGAAACCCUGACCGAGCAACGCCGCGUGAAGGAAGAAGUAAUACGUUAUGUAAACUUCUGUCAUAGAGGAAGAACGGUGGAUAUAGGGAAUGAUAUCCAAGUGACGGUACUCUAUAAGAAAGCCACGGCUAACUACGUG